Molecule: RNA transcript, 3404 nt
Organism: Protopterus annectens (West African lungfish)
Lineage: Eukaryota; Metazoa; Chordata; Ceratodontiformes; Protopteridae
Gene: RANBP3L
Gene name: RAN binding protein 3 like
Exons: 16
Source: RefSeq, a predicted model, not a curated record
AGGCCCAGCCUCCUCUAGGAGCCACACACCCAGCUGUCAGCCACAUAAUAAUGAAGAGUGAUUUGAAAAACAGCAUCAGUUUAAAUUUCCAUUUCAAAGAACUCCCCAUGUCCAGACUGACCUGAACCUCAGAAAGGAAUUUGCAGACUGUAUUGUAUCAGUGAUUGCACUAGUUAUACAAGAGCCAGCAUUACAGUGUGCAUGUACAGCAACAAAAGGGUUAAGAAAGAAACGAACAUUACUGAACGUGCUAAGGGAUUAGCUGCCUGCGUGCCUGAACAGCACCAUUUCACAGUGAGAGGUGAAACUAAGCAAAGUUUUCAAACUGGCCUACUUCUGAUUUGGCAAAUCUCUAAAGCAUGAGAAGUCAGCAAGUGUCUCCAGCAAAGGUUGGUAUACUGUACCCAGGUAUAGAGCCACUCUGUACAGACAGUACAACAAACGCUACCUGCUUUAAUAAAGCAAGACCUCAGUCUACUAAAGGGAAAAUCUGUGCCAGAAAUCCCCUCCAGAGAAAAAACCCUUCCUUAACCACUUCUGUCAGCAACAGGAGCCCAAAGAACUCUACACUGAACAGCUUCCGUGAAACCAGUUGUCAAAGGGAACACCAUGCUACCUCUACAAUCGACAAGCCUGCAAUUGCUCCACCAGUGUUCGUCUUCCAGAAGUUAGACCGAUCCUUAAAGAGGCCAGCCGAAGACCCUCUUUCAAGUCAUGCAAAUGGAGUUACAGCCUGCUGUGAGAAACGUGGGAGAUCGUCAUCAUUCACUUUCAUGCCUGCUGCCUCACAGAGCCUUGUAGAUGCAUCACAAGUCAGAGUCCGAUCUGCUUCUUUUACUGCUCCUCCUACAUUCCCUCCUUCACAGCUUGCAAGUCGAAACAAUAUAUUUAUGCCUUCAACCUUGCAUCAGAUGACAUGCGAGAAUCAUUCAGGCAUUGAUAAAGAGUCCACUUCAGUUAGCCAGUCCUGGAAUGUCCUGCGUCCUGCCAUUCUGCAGCCACCACAAGUUCAGACGUUCACCCAGUCAGUCAUGCUGGAUAAAGUGCAGGAAGUCCAGAGCAGUGAGAAGCAUUGUCAGACUGAUUCCGUAAGUACCCUUUUGCCUGAAGAGGAUUUCAGAAGUGUAGAAAAUCCGACUAAAUUAAGUACUUUCCUGCCACUCAAAGAAUCCGAACCAGCAAGAAGCCCUUUGAGCCAAGACAAUGUCCUAACAGAUGGUGGCAGUCCUCGUUUUGUCUUUGGGGAGAACAUGAGUGACAGAGUAGUGAACCCUCUACUGUCUUCAAAGUGUGAUGCUGAAGGGAAUGAGGGAGAAGCUGCGAAAGAUACAGAUGAGUUCCUUGCACAGUCCAGACCUACCGUUAUUGAAUCACCACGUACAAAAUAUGGUUCUGUGCAACCAACUACAUUGAUGGAAUCAGCAGCAGCUUAUACUGCAGCCUCAGCUCCAAAGUGUUUGCCUGUUGUAGUACCAAUUAUCACUGGCGAGGAAGGCGAGAGCAAUGUAUUGCAGAUCAGCUGCAAACUUUUUGUACAUGACAAACGUACGCAGUCCUGGACUGAAAGAGGAAGAGGGUAUCUGCGUCUAAAUGAUACAGCAAGCAAUGAAGAUGGAACUCUUCAGUCAAGGUUAGUGAUGAGGCAGCAAGGUAAUCUGAGAUUAAUUCUCAACUCCAGACUUUGGGCUAACAUGCAAAUUGAAAGAGCAAAUCGCAAAAGUCUCUGCUGCACUGCCACAGACCUAGAAGACAAAUCAGUUCAAGUUUUUCUUAUACAGGCUAGUGCAAAAGACAUAGGACGCCUGUACACAGCAAUACAUCACCGCCUUGUGGCUCUUAGAAACUGUGUUACACAAGAAUCUGACUCUACUCAGACUGAGCCUGACUCUGAAGCAUCAAUGACAUAUUUUAAGACUGACAGUGAAGAUGAGGAAGAUGAUGAGCUCACUCAGAUGGGUUGCACUGUGUCAGCUCAGCUGUGGUAUCUGACAUAAGUGUUCUGAAGACCAGUCCGAAAGCUAAUGCUUGAGUCCUAUCUGCUGGUAAAUUCUCUGUCCAUUUCUAUCCCUGUACACUUCAUUGUUCUGUGAAGUAAUGUCGAAUGCUAUACCGAAAUCCAGAUGCUACUGCAUUCCUCCUAUUGAUAACACUAUCAGUGACUCAGUCAGGUCGCUGUGGAUGGAUCGGUGGUCAAUCUGUACUGUGCACAUGACAAAGGCUCCCUCUGAUGGCAUGAAUGAUCUUAAAACAUUUCUUUCUAACAAUCCACAAAUGGACAGAUACUGAACUUUAUAACUUAAGACUUUUUAUACUACAAAAAGUAACAAAUCCAUAUUCACUGUGGAUAAAUCAACCCUUUGGGUGCCUGGAAUUUCUUCUGAAGAUACAGAAAGCAACAAAAAUGCACUUUACCAUCCCUGAUCAAGGGUAGCCUUUGUACCUUAUUUGGUAUAAGAAAACAAGUACCAUCACAUGGACAAAAGAGCCAUCAGUAACAGCAGUAGUUUGUGCAAAGGGACAUAACCAUAACAAGUUUAAGAUCAUUCAUCAUAUUGAUGGGAAGGAAGAUGUUUUAGCAUAAAUACACCGGAUUGCUGGUGAGAUAGCUAGCCUUAUGUAUUGACGAGCAGUCACACUGCAGCUUGGCAGUAAAAACUGAUAAUAAAUCUUGUACCAGACACAAGGAGUAAGGAAUGUCUGGAGUGAGAUUUUGCUUUGCCUAUUUUUGUUUAUACUUAAAUCUUUGAGAGAUGUUCUUCUAUUUAUAACCAAAGUGAUCCCAUUGGUGGAGGCAUUGAAGUGUGCUUAUUACUGAGUAUACAUUGCAUGGUUCUAGCACAUACUACUAGAGAUCCAUUUAACAGAUUUUGCAGCAGGCCUCAGUCAACUACAAUGCCCACCACCAGUGGAUUUACUGCAUACAUGUAAGCCUGUUAAAUAUGCUACAUAUCUUUAUGUAUAUAUUUGAUAUUUAUUUUUUUAGUUUUAAGAUAUAAGUGUAUAUAUACCUUUUAAAUGUGGAUUUUUGUAAACCUGUUUACAAAUUUUAAAGUAAUGAAUAAUGUUUUAUCAAUAUAUUCUGCUUUGGGGUCUUAACAAGAGGAUCACUUUGUAUAUCAUAUGUAGAAAGUCAGCAAACAGAACAGGCUCAUUGUCUUCCUUUCUGCCAAGCAUUUCCGAUUGCUGGUAAUAACCUUUACCAGGCUGAUAGUUUAGGGAAGCAUUAGUAGUAUCAGAUAGUGAAAGUCACUGCAUUUCUUUCACAUACUUGUGCCACAUAAAGUUAAUAAAUAAGAUAACAUAAUAGCAGUGAGAUUCCCACAUUAGUCUGUUUAUAAAGAGAAACAAGUGAAUGGUUAAAGCAUGUUCAAGCUGUUAUCCGGAUUAUUAUAACUUUAAAAAGA